ACUCUCACAAGUUCCAAUAAUAUAUAAGACGCUAACCAUUAAUCUUUAUUCACUUACGGGUCUCGAUUACGACUCGGUCCUACCCGGCCUCUCGUCAUUUGAAAUGUAACUCGACCCAAUCUGGCCUCCCGCCGUAUAGCAGCAUGCUUAUUCUUUUAAGCCAAUAUAUACAUGUUCUCAAUAAAUUAAAAUUUUCUUUUGCGCUCUCUCUCUCUCUCUCUCUCUCUCUCUCUUUGUU
This 238-nucleotide long non-coding RNA is filed under the name Ananas comosus (pineapple). Its description in RNAcentral is "long non-coding RNA (ACOM_LNC000090)". The record is from RNAcentral. Lineage: Eukaryota; Viridiplantae; Streptophyta; Magnoliopsida; Poales; Bromeliaceae.